CCUACGGGAGGCAGCAGUGGGGAAUUUUGGACAAUGGGCGCAAGCCUGAUCCAGCCAUGCCGCGUGCGGGAAGAAGGCCUUCGGGUUGUAAACCGCUUUUGUCAGGGAAGAAACGGUCUGGGCUAAUACCCCAGACUAAUGACGGUACCUGAAGAAUAAGCACCGGCUAACUACGUGCCAGCAGCCGCGGUAAUACGUAGGGUGCAAGCGUUAAUCGGAAUUACUGGGCGUAAAGCGUGCGCAGGCGGUUAUGCAAGACAGAUGUGAAAUCCCCGGGCUCAACCUGGGAACUGCAUUUGUGACUGCAUAGCUAGAGUACGGUAGAGGGGGAUGGAAUUCCGCGUGUAGCAGUGAAAUGCGUAGAUAUGCGGAGGAACACCGAUGGCGAAGGCAAUCCCCUGGACCUGUACUGACGCUCAUGCACGAAAGCGUGGGGAGCAAACAGGAUUAGAUACCCUGGUAGUCCAGUCGACCGUAACGUAUAUACUACGUUGGUUGGUUAGGGUUACGGUUACCGUUACGUACGUAACGACGACGUACGUACGUAGUAGUACGUACCGUCCGGUCGGGUACGGUACCGGCCGACGGUACGGUAACGUAACGUAACGAAGUAAGUAGUACGGUCGUAGAGACGACGACGACGACGACGACGGAGGGAGGAGG
This 663-nucleotide ribosomal RNA is filed under the name uncultured bacterium. Its description in RNAcentral is "bacterial SSU rRNA". The stretch from base 1 to 562 matches the Rfam family "Bacterial small subunit ribosomal RNA", at positions 338 to 873 of the family's 1533-position model. The record is from RNAcentral.